This is an unclassified non-coding RNA of Pongo abelii (Sumatran orangutan), 148 nucleotides long. It matches the Rfam family "Metazoan signal recognition particle RNA". Rfam says of the family: The signal recognition particle (SRP) is a universally conserved ribonucleoprotein. It is involved in the co-translational targeting of proteins to membranes. The record is from Ensembl. Lineage: Eukaryota; Metazoa; Chordata; Mammalia; Primates; Hominidae.
GCCGGGUGUGGUGGUGCAUGCCUGUAAUCCCAGCUACUCGGGAGGCUGAGGCAGGAGAAUCACUUGAGCCCGGGAGAUGAAGUUUGCAGUGAGCCAAGGUCAUGCCACUGCACUCCAGCCUGGGCGACAGAGCGAGACUCUGUCUCAA